RNAcentral lists this ribosomal RNA (1350 nucleotides) under uncultured bacterium. RNAcentral's name for it is "bacterial SSU rRNA". It matches the Rfam family "Bacterial small subunit ribosomal RNA", at positions 28 to 1394 of the family's 1533-position model. The record is from RNAcentral.
GACGAACGCUAGCGGCGCGCUUAACACAUGCAAGUCGAGCGGAAAGGCCCUUCGGGGUACUCGAGCGGCGAACGGGUGAGUAACACGUGAGCAACCUGCCCUUGGCUUUGGGAUAACCCCGGGAAACCGGGGCUAAUACCGAAUAUCCACGUACCGUCGCAUGACAGUGCGUGAAAAGUUUUUCGGCUGAGGAUGGGCUCGCGGCCUAUCAGCUUGUUGGUGGGGUAACGGCCUACCAAGGCUUCGACGGGUAGCCGGCCUGAGAGGGCGACCGGCCACACUGGGACUGAGAUACGGCCCAGACUCCUACGGGAGGCAGCAGUGGGGAAUAUUGCACAAUGGGCGCAAGCCUGAUGCAGCGACGCCGCGUGAGGGAAGAAGGCCUUCGGGUCGUAAACCUCUUUCGGCAGGGACGAAGCGAAAGUGACGGUACCUGAAGAAGAAGCGCCGGCCAACUACGUGCCAGCAGCCGCGGUAAGACGUAGGGCGCAAGCGUUGUCCGGAUUUAUUGGGCGUAAAGAGCUCGUAGGCGGCCUGUCGCGUCGACUGUGAAAACCCGCGGCUUAACUGCGGGACUGCAGUCGAUACGGGCAGGCUAGAGUUCGGUAGGGGAGACUGGAAUUCCUGGUGUAGCGGUGAAAUGCGCAGAUAUCAGGAGGAACACCGGUGGCGAAAGGCGGGUCUCUGGGCCGAUACUGACGCUGAGGAGCGAAAGCGUGGGGAGCGAACAGGAUUAGAUACCCUGGUAGUCCACGCUGUAAACGUUGGGCGCUAGGUGUGGGGGGCCUCUCCGGUCCUCUGUGCCGCAGCUAACGCAUUAAGCGCCCCGCCUGGGGAGUACGGCCGCAAGGCUAAAACUCAAAGGAAUUGACGGGGGCCCGCACAAGCGGCGGAGCAUGCGGAUUAAUUCGAUGCAACGCGAAGAACCUUACCUGGGUUUGACAUGGCGGCUAAAGCCACAGAGAUGUGGUGUCCUUCGGGGGCCGUCACAGGUGGUGCAUGGCUGUCGUCAGCUCGUGUCGUGAGAUGUUGGGUUAAGUCCCGCAACGAGCGCAACCCUCGUUCCAUGUUGCCAGCGGGUAAUGCCGGGGACUCAUGGGAGACUGCCGGGGUCAACUCGGAGGAAGGUGGGGAUGACGUCAAGUCAUCAUGCCCCUUAUGUCCAGGGCUUCACGCAUGCUACAAUGGCCGGUACAAAGGGCUGCGAUACCGCAAGGUGGAGCGAAUCCCAAAAAGCCGGUCUCAGUUCGGAUCGGGGUCUGCAACUCGACCCCGUGAAGUCGGAGUCGCUAGUAAUCGCAGAUCAGCAAUGCUGCGGUGAAUACGUUCCCGGGCCUUGUACUCACCGCC